Molecule: ribosomal RNA, 105 nt
Filed under: Listeria welshimeri
Lineage: Bacteria; Bacillati; Bacillota; Bacilli; Caryophanales; Listeriaceae
Source: RNAcentral
UGGCGAGAAGGUCACACCCGUUCCCAUCCCGAACACGGUAGUUAAGCUUCUCUGCGCCAAUGGUAGUUGGGGGUUUCUCCCUGCGAGAGUAGGUCGCUGCCGGGC